GGAAGAUCCGCAGUGCAGUGGGAAGUGCACAGCUGCUUAUGUCCCAGAAGUUUCAGCAGUUCAGGGAACUGUGUGAGGAAAAUCUGCAGAACCCAAACGCUCACCCACGGCCAGUGGCUCAAGAUCUCGCAGGGUUCUGGGACAUGCUUCAACUUUCCAUUGAGAAUAUCAGCUUAAAGUUCGAUGAGCUUCACCAGCUCAAAGCCAACAACUGGAGACCCCUCGACCCCCCUGAGAGAAAGUGAGCUGUUUUCAGAAGUCAUUCCAUCCGGCACGCACCAUGGGGGCAGCGGCCCCCAACCUCUCACCCCCGCCGGGCCGCUCUCUUACCGCACGCAG
Molecule: long non-coding RNA, 339 nt
Organism: Sinocyclocheilus rhinocerous
Lineage: Eukaryota; Metazoa; Chordata; Actinopteri; Cypriniformes; Cyprinidae
Exons: 3
Source: RefSeq, a predicted model, not a curated record